ACCAUCAAUUCUUGCUCUGGU
RNAcentral lists this non-coding RNA (21 nucleotides) under Rattus norvegicus (Norway rat). Lineage: Eukaryota; Metazoa; Chordata; Mammalia; Rodentia; Muridae. The record is from RNAcentral.